This 88-nucleotide transfer RNA is filed under the name bacterium. RNAcentral's name for it is "tRNA-Ser". It matches the Rfam family "tRNA". From Rfam's summary of the family: Transfer RNA (tRNA) molecules are approximately 80 nucleotides in length. The record is from RNAcentral. RNAcentral also lists the same sequence under 2 other names.
GGAGAGGUGCGAGAGCGGUCGAAUCGGCACGACUGGAAAUCGUGUGAACCGAAAGGUUCCGAGGGUUCGAAUCCCUCCCUCUCCGCCA